AGUAAAAUGGCUGAUAAAAGUGAUAAAUUGUAAAUUUAUUUAUAAGAAUAAUUUCUUUUUUACUA
Molecule: transfer RNA, 65 nt
Filed under: Ylodes simulans
Lineage: Eukaryota; Metazoa; Arthropoda; Insecta; Trichoptera; Leptoceridae
Description: tRNA-Tyr
Source: RNAcentral